This 1067-nucleotide long non-coding RNA is filed under the name Gouania willdenowi (blunt-snouted clingfish). RNAcentral describes it as "lncRNA (ENSGWIG00000017920.1)". The record is from RNAcentral. Lineage: Eukaryota; Metazoa; Chordata; Actinopteri; Blenniiformes; Gobiesocidae.
UUGUACCCGGCUUCCUUGUUUCAGGUAAGUUGGCCUUUGCGUCUUGCGAGACGACUGAUGUCCCAGGCAACGACUGGUACCGGGACUUUUUUAAUGGUAAGGAUUUUAUUUUUUGUUUCUUUAUGACAGGCCACAGUUGGAGUGGUUGUCCUGUCACUGUUAUGAAAACAUGCAUAAUAUAUUAGGUUGAGUUAGGUUAGAGUUAAAAAUUAGAGAUAACCUUUUUAAUCCCAGCAAGUGAGGACAGGAGGAGACAUCAACAGAGGACAGAGGCUAAAGAAGACUUCUUUAUCAACCACAACAAUGUAAGUAAAAAUACUGAACACACCUUUACUGUAAAAAUAAACUUGACUUUAUAAUAAUGCUUGUAAAAUGUUAAACAGGAGCACCAGCAUCCACAGCUGCUUGAGGAGGAAACAUCAACAGAAAGCAAAACAAUUAAUCAUCCACUGAUGGAGGAGGAGGAUGAUGAAGAUGGAGGACAGGAGCACCAGUAUCCACAGCAUCCUGAGGAAACAUCAACAGGGGACAGAAAGACUUCUAUUCACCAAAACAAUACAGGAGUGCCAGCAUCCACUGAUGGAGGAGGAGGAUGAAGAAGAUGGAGGACAUUAGCACCAGCAUCCACAGCUGCCUGAGGAGGAAACAUCAACAGAAAGCAAAACAAUCAAAACAAUUAAUGUAAGUAAAGCCUCUCAUUGGCACAGAAAGACACUGAACUAAUGUUUAAUGUAAAAAUAGAGGUGACUUUAUACUAAUGCCUGUAAAAUGUUGGACUGGAACAAUGGCAUCUACUGAUGGAGGAGGAGGAUGAAGAUGGAGGACAGGAGCACCAGUAUCCACAGCAUCCUGAGGAAACAUCAACAGAGGACAGAGACUUCUAUUCACCAAAACAAUACAGGAGCACCAGCAUCCACAGCAUCCUGAGGAGGAAACAUUACCAGAGGACAGAAAGACUUCUAUUCACCAAAACAAUCAAUGUAAGUAAAGCCUCUCAUUUACACAGAAAGAAUCUGAAUACGUGUUUAAUGUAAAAAUAAAGAUGAUUUUGAUACUAAUGACUGUCA